UACAGAGGGUGCGAGCGUUGUUCGGAAUUACUGGGCGUAAAGCGCGCGCAGGCGGCCCUUUAAGUCCGCUGGUGAAAGCCCGGGGCUCAACCCCGUGUCAGCCAGGGAUACUGGAGGGCUGGAGACAGGUAGAGGCAAGCGGAAUUCCGGGUGUAGCGGUGGAAUGCGUAGAGAUCCGGAAGAACACCGGAGGCGAAGGCGGCUUGCUGGACCUGGUCUGACGCUGAGGCGCGAAAGCGUGGGGAGCGAACAGG
RNAcentral lists this ribosomal RNA (254 nucleotides) under uncultured bacterium. RNAcentral describes it as "partial 16S ribosomal RNA". It matches the Rfam family "Bacterial small subunit ribosomal RNA", at positions 524 to 776 of the family's 1533-position model. The record is from RNAcentral.